GCCCAUAAUAAAAAAUCUAAGUACAUUUUUGGAUUCAGCAUAUCAAAGAACCCCAAGAUUUCAAUUUUUGUUAAAAUCAGACUAAGUUUAAUUUUGGACCCUUUGGACUUUAGUGUAGACCAAUUUGAAAACAGGACCAAUAAAGGGCUGCGCUUUCACGCAUGAUACGCCCGUUGCUCUUUUAACUUGUCUUUUAUGCUUUAAAUGUAUUGUCCCAAAAUUGGAAAAUCCCCCCUUUUUUAAGCAUAAAAAUUCAUAACACGGAAAUGUAAAAUCUGAAAUUUAUAAAAGUUGAAAGGGAGCUUACAUCAAUAGAUAUAAACAAUUCACCAAAAUUUCAUGGACAUUGGUGAAAGCCUUUUUGAGUUAUUGUCCGAAGUGUUAAAAAUCCCCCUUUUUUUUAUGAAUAAAGCCCCAUAAAUCCAAAACUUAAAAUCUGAAAUUAAUAAAAAUUAAAAGGGAGCUUACAUCAAUAGAUAUAAACAAUUCACCAAAGUUUCAUGGACAUUGGUGAAAGCCUUUUUGAGUUAUUGUCCGAAGUGUUAAAAAUCCCCCUUUUUUUAUGAAUAAAGCCCCAUAAAUCCAAAACUUAAAAUCUGAAAUUAAUAAAAAUUGAAAGGGAGCUUAUAUCAAUAGAUAUAAACAAUUCACCAAAGUUUCAUGGACAUUAGUGAAAGCCUUUUUGAGUUAUUGUCCUUAGUGUUAAAAAUCCCCCUUUUUUUAUGAAUAAAGCCCCAUAAAUCCAAAACUUAAAAUCUGAAAUUAAUAAAAAUUGAAAGGGAGCUUACAUCAAUAGAUAUAAACAAUUCACCAAAGUUUCAUGGACAUUGGUGAAAGCCUUUUUGAGUUAUUGUCCAAAGUGUUAAAAAUCCCCCUUUUUUUAUGAAUAAAGCCCCAUAAAUCCAAAACUUAAAAUCUGAAAUUAAAAAAAACCGAAAGGGAGCUUACAUCAAUAGAUAUAAACAAUUCACCAAAGUUUCAUGGACAUUGGUGAAAGCCUUUUUGAGUUAUUGUCCAAAGUGAUGAAAAUCCCCCCUUUUUUAUGAAUAAAGCCCCAUAAAUCCAAAACUUAAAAUCUGAAAUUAAAAAAAAACGAAAGGGAGCUUACGUCAAUAGAUAUAAACAAUUCACCAAAGUUUCUUGGAAAUUGGUGAAAGUGUUUUUGAGUUAUUGUCCGAAGUGUGGACGACGGACGGACGGACAGACGGACGGACGGACGGACAACGGUAUACCAUAAUACGUCCCGUCCCGGGCAUAUAAAAAUGAAGAAUCUACAUACACAGUUAGAUUUGGUAUAUCAAAGAACCCCAUUUAUUCAAUUUUUGAUGAAAUCAAACAAAGUUUAAUUUUGGACCCGAUUUGGACCAACUUGAAAACUGGGCCAAUAAUCAAGAAUCUAAGUACAUUUUUAGAUUCAGCAUAUCAAAGAACCUAACUGAUUCAUUUUUUGUCAAAAUCAAACUAAGUUUAAUUUUGGACCCUUU
This 1484-nucleotide long non-coding RNA is filed under the name Mytilus galloprovincialis (Mediterranean mussel). The record is from RNAcentral. Lineage: Eukaryota; Metazoa; Mollusca; Bivalvia; Mytilida; Mytilidae.